RNAcentral lists this transfer RNA (69 nucleotides) under Rattus norvegicus (Norway rat). It matches the Rfam family "tRNA". From Rfam's summary of the family: Transfer RNA (tRNA) molecules are approximately 80 nucleotides in length. Their secondary structure includes four short double-helical elements and three loops (D, anti-codon, and T loops). The record is from Rfam by way of RNAcentral. Lineage: Eukaryota; Metazoa; Chordata; Mammalia; Rodentia; Muridae.
GGGGAUUUAGCUCAGUGGUAGAGCGCUUGCCUAGCAAGCACAAGGCCCUGGGUUCCUUCCCCAGCUCUG